Molecule: long non-coding RNA, 413 nt
Organism: Pogonomyrmex barbatus (red harvester ant)
Lineage: Eukaryota; Metazoa; Arthropoda; Insecta; Hymenoptera; Formicidae
Source: RefSeq, a predicted model, not a curated record
UCUUAUUUUUUUUUUUUAAUUAAGAAUGGAGAAAGGAUAUCGAGAAAGAUAUCAACGUGAGAAUCGAGAAUUGAAUACGAGUGAAUCAUGAAUAUGAAUCGUUUGUAGAAAAUUAAAGCAACAAAUUUUCAACACGAGAAAGCAUAGAACUCACGUAUCCUUUCCGAAAUUAUAAUACUGAAGAAACUGCGUAUCAAGAUGAAUAAAAGAUUAAUGAAAAGAUAAAAUCUCUCCCAAAAAGAUCUGAAGAAAUAUAUUUGAGAGCGGAUUGCAAACAUUAAGAUCUCUUAAACGUCCGUUAAUAUAUGAAGACAUAUUCAUAUGUUGAGGAACAUAUAUACGGUCAGAGGAAACAAGCGUGCGAGACGAACGAAGUGAUUCUCAUUCCGAGGGACUUUCGAGGGGCGCAAAUG